This 468-nucleotide ribosomal RNA is filed under the name uncultured bacterium. RNAcentral describes it as "partial 16S ribosomal RNA". It matches the Rfam family "Bacterial small subunit ribosomal RNA", at positions 28 to 507 of the family's 1533-position model. The record is from RNAcentral.
GACGAACGCUGGCGGCGUGCUUAACACAUGCAAGUCGAACGGAAAGGCCCUGCUUUUGUGGGGUGCUCGAGUGGCGAACGGGUGAGUAACACGUGAGUAACCUGCCCUUGACUUUGGGAUAACUUCAGGAAACUGGGGCUAAUACCGGAUAGGAGCUCCUGCUGCAUGGUGGGGGUUGGAAAGUUUCGGCGGUUGGGGAUGGAUUCGCGGCUUAUCAGCUUGUUGGUGGGGUAGUGGCUUACCAAGGCUUUGACGGGUAGCCGGCCUGAGAGGGUGACCGGCCACAUUGGGACUGAGAUACGGCCCAGACUCCUACGGGAGGCAGCAGUGGGGAAUAUUGCACAAUGGGCGGAAGCCUGAUGCAGCAACGCCGCGUGCGGGAUGACGGCCUUCGGGUUGUAAACCGCUUUCGCCUGUGACGAAGCGUGAGUGACGGUAAUGGGUAAAGAAGCACCGGCUAACUACGUA